Molecule: long non-coding RNA, 1218 nt
Organism: Capsella rubella
Lineage: Eukaryota; Viridiplantae; Streptophyta; Magnoliopsida; Brassicales; Brassicaceae
Exons: 3
Source: RefSeq, a predicted model, not a curated record
GUCGAGAAUCGAUCCAAACCCUUUCUUCUUCAUUUUUUUCUCAGAAAAUCCAUAGAUUACACUUGAAAUCCAGAGAAUCGAUCGAAGCUUCAAUAGUUUCAGAAAUGGCAAAGACAAGAGGAGGAGGACAAGUUGGUUCUCGUCGUAGUAGACGUAAUCAAGGCUUGGAGGUAGAAGAUCCUACAACAAUAGGAAAGGUGAAAAAGAACAGAAUAGGAAAGAAAGUGGCUACCUCUACGAGAAAAGGUAGGAGAAUCAAGAAAGUGGCUGGUCAAUAUGAUGAGUUAGAAGAUAUUACCCGCAAGUUGAUGCGGUUGAUGAUGUAACACCGCAAGAUGAUGCGGUUGAUGAUGUAACACUUCAAGAUGUGGAAGAAGAUCAGGGUAUUGAUGGUAAAGGAGAUGCUGCUUUAGAAAGAGACGCUUGUUUGAGUGAUCAACAGGAACAACAUGAUGAUGAAGAAGAAGCUGCGUAUAUGGAAGAAGAUGGAGUUGGCAAUGGUCAAGAGAAUGCGAUUUCUAGUACUGAAGGAAUUGAGUUACCGGAGGACGGAGUGAAAAAAAAAAAAAGGACCAACAAAGAUGCGUAGAGUGGCUGGAAAUCCUAAUGAAAAGGUUGCAGUUACUUUCACUGACUUUGGUGAUCAUGUUGGACCUGGUUCAGUAACACUAUCAACUUUUCUUGGUGCUCUUGUGAGGGAACACGUUCCGGUUACACUUUCUGAUUGGAGAAAACUUGAUGCAGUGACUAAACAAACAAUGCGGGAAGAAAUUCAGUGACAAACUCUUUAAAAUUCAACCUCCCAAUAACCCUCUAAGAAGAUUAAUUGAUGCGUGGAAGCUAUAUGGGUGAAUUUUUGUCGAGAUGGCCCUGUUCGUCACGUAGUUGCCGUGACUGCGUCUGCGACUGUACAAAACGACAGUGACGAUAGCCACACAUAAAACAAAACGACGGUACAGAUCUGAUGGAGGUGUCGUAGGAGAGAGAUAACGGUGCCGCGUUUACACAAAAGAGAUCGUCGGAAAUUUGAGCGAUUGUUGCAGCAACAUCUUUUAUAAAAAGUAGCGACUCUUUUUAAAAAAAAACACGGCUAUUCCUUUUAACUAUUUGAACUCCGGCGCGUCUAUUUUGUAAUUGCCGAAAGUAGUCGCUGCUGCGACUACGUGACGAACAUGGCGAGAGCUUGCAAGAUUAUGAUGGGUUUCAGAAACAGAACAA